UGGGGAAUCUUGCACAAUGGGCGAAAGCCUGAUGCAGCGACGCCGCGUGCGGGAUGAAGGCCUUCGGGUUGUAAACCGCUUUCAGCAGGGACGAGGCCGCAAGGUGACGGUACCUGCAGAAGAAGCCCCGGCUAACUACGUGCCAGCAGCCGCGGUAAUACGUAGGGGGCAAGCGUUAUCCGGAUUCAUUGGGCGUAAAGCGCGCGUAGGCGGUUUGUUAGGUCAGGAGUUAAAUCUGGGGGCUCAACCCCUAUCCGCUCCUGAUACCGGCAGGCUUGAGUCUGGUAGGGGAAGGCGGAAUUCCAAGUGUAGCGGUGAAAUGCGCAGAUAUUAGGAGGAAUACCUGUGGCGAAGGCGACUUACUGGACACAAAUCUGACGCUGAGGAACGAAAGCGUGGGUAGCAAACAGG
Molecule: ribosomal RNA, 411 nt
Filed under: Verrucomicrobiota bacterium
Lineage: Bacteria; Pseudomonadati; Verrucomicrobiota
Description: Verrucomicrobia bacterium partial 16S ribosomal RNA
Rfam family: Bacterial small subunit ribosomal RNA
Source: RNAcentral